This 76-nucleotide transfer RNA is filed under the name Chryseobacterium carnipullorum. RNAcentral describes it as "tRNA-Met". It matches the Rfam family "tRNA". Rfam says of the family: Transfer RNA (tRNA) molecules are approximately 80 nucleotides in length. Their secondary structure includes four short double-helical elements and three loops (D, anti-codon, and T loops). The record is from RNAcentral. Lineage: Bacteria; Pseudomonadati; Bacteroidota; Flavobacteriia; Flavobacteriales; Weeksellaceae.
CGCGGGAUGGAGCAGUAGGUAGCUCGUCGGGCUCAUAACCCGAAGGUCGUCGGGUCAAAUCCGGCCCCCGCAACCA